UACGAAGGGGGCUAGCGUUGUUCGGAAUUACUGGGCGUAAAGCGCACGUAGGCGGGUUCUUAAGUCAGGGGUGAAAUCCUGGAGCUCAACUCCAGAACUGCCUUUGAUACUGGGAAUCUCGAGUUCGGGAGAGGUGAGUGGAACUGCGAGUGUAGAGGUGAAAUUCGUAGAUAUUCGCAAGAACACCACUGGCGAAGGCGGCUCACUGGCCCGAUACUGACGCUGAGGUGCGAAAGCGUGGGGAGCAAACAGG
Molecule: ribosomal RNA, 253 nt
Filed under: uncultured bacterium
Lineage: Bacteria
Description: partial 16S ribosomal RNA
Rfam family: Bacterial small subunit ribosomal RNA
Source: RNAcentral